This 1554-nucleotide ribosomal RNA is filed under the name Klebsiella pneumoniae. RNAcentral describes it as "bacterial SSU rRNA". It matches the Rfam family "Bacterial small subunit ribosomal RNA". Lineage: Bacteria; Pseudomonadati; Pseudomonadota; Gammaproteobacteria; Enterobacterales; Enterobacteriaceae. The record is from RNAcentral.
ACUUAAAUUGAAGAGUUUGAUCAUGGCUCAGAUUGAACGCUGGCGGCAGGCCUAACACAUGCAAGUCGAGCGGUAGCACAGAGAGCUUGCUCUCGGGUGACGAGCGGCGGACGGGUGAGUAAUGUCUGGGAAACUGCCUGAUGGAGGGGGAUAACUACUGGAAACGGUAGCUAAUACCGCAUAAUGUCGCAAGACCAAAGUGGGGGACCUUCGGGCCUCAUGCCAUCAGAUGUGCCCAGAUGGGAUUAGCUAGUAGGUGGGGUAACGGCUCACCUAGGCGACGAUCCCUAGCUGGUCUGAGAGGAUGACCAGCCACACUGGAACUGAGACACGGUCCAGACUCCUACGGGAGGCAGCAGUGGGGAAUAUUGCACAAUGGGCGCAAGCCUGAUGCAGCCAUGCCGCGUGUGUGAAGAAGGCCUUCGGGUUGUAAAGCACUUUCAGCGGGGAGGAAGGCGAUAAGGUUAAUAACCUCAUCGAUUGACGUUACCCGCAGAAGAAGCACCGGCUAACUCCGUGCCAGCAGCCGCGGUAAUACGGAGGGUGCAAGCGUUAAUCGGAAUUACUGGGCGUAAAGCGCACGCAGGCGGUCUGUCAAGUCGGAUGUGAAAUCCCCGGGCUCAACCUGGGAACUGCAUUCGAAACUGGCAGGCUAGAGUCUUGUAGAGGGGGGUAGAAUUCCAGGUGUAGCGGUGAAAUGCGUAGAGAUCUGGAGGAAUACCGGUGGCGAAGGCGGCCCCCUGGACAAAGACUGACGCUCAGGUGCGAAAGCGUGGGGAGCAAACAGGAUUAGAUACCCUGGUAGUCCACGCCGUAAACGAUGUCGAUUUGGAGGUUGUGCCCUUGAGGCGUGGCUUCCGGAGCUAACGCGUUAAAUCGACCGCCUGGGGAGUACGGCCGCAAGGUUAAAACUCAAAUGAAUUGACGGGGGCCCGCACAAGCGGUGGAGCAUGUGGUUUAAUUCGAUGCAACGCGAAGAACCUUACCUGGUCUUGACAUCCACAGAACUUUCCAGAGAUGGAUUGGUGCCUUCGGGAACUGUGAGACAGGUGCUGCAUGGCUGUCGUCAGCUCGUGUUGUGAAAUGUUGGGUUAAGUCCCGCAACGAGCGCAACCCUUAUCCUUUGUUGCCAGCGGUCCGGCCGGGAACUCAAAGGAGACUGCCAGUGAUAAACUGGAGGAAGGUGGGGAUGACGUCAAGUCAUCAUGGCCCUUACGACCAGGGCUACACACGUGCUACAAUGGCAUAUACAAAGAGAAGCGACCUCGCGAGAGCAAGCGGACCUCAUAAAGUAUGUCGUAGUCCGGAUUGGAGUCUGCAACUCGACUCCAUGAAGUCGGAAUCGCUAGUAAUCGUAGAUCAGAAUGCUACGGUGAAUACGUUCCCGGGCCUUGUACACACCGCCCGUCACACCAUGGGAGUGGGUUGCAAAAGAAGUAGGUAGCUUAACCUUCGGGAGGGCGCUUACCACUUUGUGAUUCAUGACUGGGGUGAAGUCGUAACAAGGUAACCGUAGGGGAACCUGCGGUUGGAUCACCUCCUUACCUUAAAGAA